UUAGUACUCCCUUUGUUCGGAAUUAUUUGUCGUAGAAAUGAAUGUAUCUAGACGUAUUUUAGUUAUAGAUACAUUCAUAUCCGAGACAAGUAAUUCCGAACAAAGGGAGUACCUU
This is a non-coding RNA of Triticum aestivum (bread wheat), 115 nucleotides long. NCBI's taxonomy places the organism in Eukaryota, Viridiplantae, Streptophyta, Magnoliopsida, Poales, Poaceae. The record is from Rfam.